Molecule: ribosomal RNA, 268 nt
Filed under: uncultured Hyphomicrobiales bacterium
Lineage: Bacteria; Pseudomonadati; Pseudomonadota; Alphaproteobacteria; Hyphomicrobiales
Description: uncultured Rhizobiales bacterium partial 16S ribosomal RNA
Rfam family: Bacterial small subunit ribosomal RNA
Source: RNAcentral
CUCAGAACGAACGCUGGCGGCAGGCAUAACACAUGCAAGUCGAGCGGCCGUAGCAAUACGGCAGCGGCAGACGGGAGAGUAACACGUGGGAACGCGCCCUACAAUUCGGAAUAACUCAGGGAAACUUGGGCUAAUACCGGAUACGCCCUUACGGGGAAAGAUUUAUUGCCGAAGGAACGGCCCGCCUCGAUUAGCUAGUUGUGAGGUUUCUUCUUCCAAGGCGAGGAAAAAAUCCGGCCUGAGAGGGCGGACGGACACACUGGGACUG